This 1363-nucleotide ribosomal RNA is filed under the name metagenome. RNAcentral describes it as "bacterial SSU rRNA". It matches the Rfam family "Bacterial small subunit ribosomal RNA", at positions 8 to 1312 of the family's 1533-position model. The record is from RNAcentral.
AGAGUUUGACCCUGGCUCAGAGCGAACGUUAGCGGCACGCCUAACACAUGCAAGUCGCACGAGAAAGGGAGCAAUCCUGAGUAGAGUGGCGCACGGGUGCGUAACACGUAGAUAACCUGCCCUUUGGAGGGGGAUAACGUUCCGAAAGGAGCGCUAAUACCGCAUAACGCCUUUUCCGGUUCGCCGGAGAUUGACAAAGAUAGGGACCCGCAAGGGCCUAUCGCCAGAGGAGGGGUCUGCGGCCCAUCAGCUAGUUGGGGAGGUAAUGGCUCACCAAGGCAGAGACGGGUAGCUGGUCUGAGAGGAUGAUCAGCCACACUGGUACUGGAACACGGACCAGACUCCUACGGGAGGCAGCAGUGGGGAAUCUUGGUCAAUGGGCGCAAGCCUGAACCAGCGAUGCCGCGUGAGUGAAAGGCCUUCGGGUUGUAAAGCUCUGUGGGGCGGGACGAAAAAGCAGGUUCUAACAGGACCUGAAAUUGACGGUACCGCCUUAGCAAGCACCGGCUAACUCUGUGCCAGCAGCCGCGGUAAGACAGAGGGUGCAAACGUUGCUCGGAAUCACUGGGCGUAAAGGGCGUGUAGGCGGGAAGGAAAGUCGGGCGUGAAAUCCCUGGGCUCAACCCAGGAACUGCACUCGAAACUUCUUUUCUUGAGUGCCGGAGAGGAAACCGGAAUUCCUGGUGUAGAGGUGAAAUUCGUAGAUAUCAGGAGGAACACCAGUGGCGAAGGCGGCUUUCUGGACGGUAACUGACGCUGAGACGCGAAAGCGUGGGGAGCAAACAGGAUUAGAUACCCCGGUAGUCCACGCUGUAAACGAUGAGUGCUAGGUGUCGUGGGUAUUGACCCCCGCGGUGCCGUAGCUAACGCAUUAAGCACUCCGCCUGGGAAGUACGGUCGCAAGACUAAAACUCAAAGGAAUUGACGGGGGCCCGCACAAGCGGUGGAGCAUGUGGUUUAAUUCGACGACACGCGCAGAACCUUACCUGGGCUGGAAAGUGUUCGGAAGUCUUGUGAAAACGAGAUGUGCCCGCAAGGGAGCCGAGUGACAGGUGCUGCAUGGCUGUCGGCAGCUCGUGUCGUGAGAUGUUGGGUUAAGUCCCGCAACGAGCGCAACCUCUAUCGUUAGUUGCUACCAUUUAGUUGAGCACUCUAACGAGACUGCCGGCGUCAAGCCGGAGGAAGGUGGAGACGACGUCAAGUCCUCAUGGCCCUUAUGUCCAGGGCUACACACGUGCUACAAUGGUGCAUACAGAGCGACAGGCAAGUCUAGUACGUACAUCGCGGAUCUUCAUCUUUGCCCCCCUAGAUCGGAAGAGCACACGUCUGAACUCCAGUCACAUCUCGUAUGCCGUCUUCUGCU